This 498-nucleotide ribosomal RNA is filed under the name uncultured bacterium. RNAcentral describes it as "partial 16S ribosomal RNA". It matches the Rfam family "Bacterial small subunit ribosomal RNA", at positions 30 to 523 of the family's 1533-position model. The record is from RNAcentral.
AUUGAACGCUGGCGGCAUGCCUUACACAUGCAAGUCGAACGGUAACAGGUCUUCGGAUGCUGACGAGUGGCGAACGGGUGAGUAAUACAUCGGAACGUGCCUAGUAGUGGGGGAUAACUACUCGAAAGAGUGGCUAAUACCGCAUGAGAUCUACGGAUGAAAGCAGGGGAUUGCAAGACCUUGUGCUACUAGAGCGGCCGAUGGCAGAUUAGGUAGUGGGUGGGAUAAAAGCUUACCAAGCCGACGAUCUGUAGCUGGUCUGAGAGGACGAUCAGCCACACUGGGACUGAGAAACGGCCCAGACUCCUACGGGAGGCAGCAGUGGGGAAUUUUGGACAAUGGGCGCAAGCCUGAUCCAGCAAUGCCGCGUGCAGGAUGAAGGCCUUCGGGUUGUAAACUGCUUUUGUACGGAACGAAAAGCCCCGGGUUAAUACCCUGGGGUCAUGACGGUACCGUAAGAAUAAGCACCGGCUAACUACGUGCCAGCAGCCGCGGUAA